Molecule: unclassified non-coding RNA, 824 nt
Filed under: Hevea brasiliensis (rubber tree)
Lineage: Eukaryota; Viridiplantae; Streptophyta; Magnoliopsida; Malpighiales; Euphorbiaceae
Source: RNAcentral
UUAAAAAAAAAAAAAACAAAUAUUCUUAUCAAAUUAAUAAUCUUUCAAUAUACGAAGGCCACCAUAUUUUUCGCAAGUGGUCUCAGAAAGGCCACCAUAUUUUUCUGCAAGUGCUCUCCGAGCAACUGGUCAAGUUGCUGUGGUUUCAUUUUGGUGAUUCAGACAGCAUCAAACAAACCAUGGGAGUAUGUUUUUCAGUAUGCACUGAAGCACAUAGUUUCCUACCCAGUGCGCCUGAAACCCCUAUUAUAGGUUGCAGCAAUGUCCCUUUCUGCUGAUAUAGGAUGUUCUUUCCAAUUAUAUUCUGUAAGUUGACAUCAACUAGCAAUUUUCAACUUUUUAGUAGCCUUUAUUCUUGUUGUCAACAGAUGGGCAGCCAGAGUGCUUGUGAGCAGUGAUGAUGCUUGUGGUCAUGGACGAAAGGUACGGAAGGUCACGAAAUCCUUGAGCAAAUUCUGAAAUUUGGCUUUGUGUUUCAAUGGAUUUCGUAAAGUUUUUUAUUGGAACAUCUUAAUUGUUUGAAUAUUUUAAGAAUACUAUCACUAGAGUGAAAUGAUAUAAAAAAGUUGUGCAGCAAUUGCUAGAUGGAAUUUUCCUGGUGCUACUUGGCCACUGAACCAGAAGUAUUUGAAAAUAAUUUAUAUCUUAUUGUUUAUCAUUCCUUGACUCUUUACUUGCAGGAAGUUGGGCUCCCAAGUCAAGUUGCCAAGUUUUCUAAGAGAAUAGCUGCGAUUCCUUUGCAGCAAAGGAGUAAAUCUAAUCACUUCCUCAACAUGAUUGGUUUGAGUACUGCACACUCUGAUAGCAUGGAUGUUCAGGUGACU